Molecule: long non-coding RNA, 1003 nt
Filed under: Centruroides sculpturatus (bark scorpion)
Lineage: Eukaryota; Metazoa; Arthropoda; Arachnida; Scorpiones; Buthidae
Description: uncharacterized LOC111624734
Source: RNAcentral
UUUUUAUAAAAUCUAUCUGAAGACCUAUGAGAGUUUUCAGGAAAAACGAUCGACAGAAGUUGAGAAAGAAUUGAAAAAUUGCCCAUUGUCAGUGCGAUGGGACUUCGCAACAAGACGCACAGCAUCUCAUAUUCGACUGCAACCAAUACACCCAACAUAGGACGAAUCUACUCAGGACAGUGUUACAGGAGGGAUACAACUGGCCUUGAGACAACAACGUCUUAGUUAGAAAUAAGAAGAUCUUCAAGGCACUUAUAAACUUUGUCGAGUCAACAAAGGCUCUGGACCUGCAACACGACAAUGAGUAAGAACAUCUUCAUCUAGUUCAACAUGUGUUUAACACGUGUAUAACGUAUAGCUACUUGUGUGUAGGUGUGUUACAACUCUAUCCGCCAAGCAGUAUUUCCUGUAAACCUAAUCAUGGUAAUCACCAUUUUGACAUCAAUGUUGUAAAUUUUAUGGCACUAUGCCAGGCAAUGUCUACUUUUGUGUUAAGGAACUUAUAGUCGCGUUUUUAUGUACGGACAUAAAAAUCUGUACCUCUUUUGUUUUCUUUUGUAAAUGUUAUUUCCAUAUGUAACCUGUUUAUGUUUUAAAUAAAGUUCCCGGUGCGGCUCUUGACAUCCCCUUCCACUUCUCACUUCUUUCCCAUUUUCCACCCACCUUCGGCCUCUGCCACAACAGACUUUCCCUCCAACUAACCCUUCUCACUUCUUUAUAUCUCUUUGAGGAUAUACCACUGAGUAAUGCCCCCUAUCCCUCUAAAAAUAUUGAAAUAUCUUUCAUAGUGGUCGAGAUAGGACUUUGCCCUAUAAAAAGGGGAGUCGGGGAUAAAAGGUAUGCCAUAGCCCACUAUCGAUUGAAUAUACUCUUGUCACAUGUAUUGAUAUUUAGGAAAAAUAUAGCAGAAGCAAGAUAUAGCCUGAUGCAAGUUAUUGCACCAAGCUAUAUAUUGCUUUUGUAUACACUCUUUUGUCUAUCUCUUUUGUCUACACCAGGGGUG